GAGGGUUUAGCUCAGUGGUAGAGUGCAUGCCUAGCAUGCAUGAGGUCCUGAGUUCAAUUCCCAGUACCUCUA
RNAcentral lists this transfer RNA (72 nucleotides) under Camelus bactrianus (Bactrian camel). It matches the Rfam family "tRNA". From Rfam's summary of the family: Transfer RNA (tRNA) molecules are approximately 80 nucleotides in length. Their secondary structure includes four short double-helical elements and three loops (D, anti-codon, and T loops). Further hydrogen bonds mediate the characteristic L-shaped molecular structure. tRNAs have two regions of fundamental functional importance: the anti-codon, which is responsible for specific mRNA codon recognition, and the 3' end, to which the tRNAs corresponding amino acid is attached (by aminoacyl-tRNA synthetases). tRNAs cope with the degeneracy of the genetic code in two manners: having more than one tRNA (with a specific anti-codon) for a particular amino acid; and 'wobble' base-pairing, i.e. permitting non-standard base-pairing at the 3rd anti-codon position. The record is from Rfam by way of RNAcentral. Lineage: Eukaryota; Metazoa; Chordata; Mammalia; Artiodactyla; Camelidae. RNAcentral also lists the same sequence under 1 other name.